This 253-nucleotide ribosomal RNA is filed under the name uncultured bacterium. Its description in RNAcentral is "partial 16S ribosomal RNA". It matches the Rfam family "Bacterial small subunit ribosomal RNA", at positions 524 to 776 of the family's 1533-position model. The record is from RNAcentral.
UACAGAGGUCUCAAGCGUUGUUCGGAUUCAUUGGGCGUAAAGGGUGCGUAGGCGGCGCGGUAAGUCGGGUGUGAAAUCUUGGAGCUUAACUCCGAAACUGCAUUCGAUACUGCCGUGCUUGAGGACUGGAGAGGAGACUGGAAUUUACGGUGUAGCGGUGAAAUGCGUAGAUAUCGUAAGGAAGACCAGUGGCGAAGGCGGGUCUCUGGACAGUUCCUGACGCUGAGGCACGAAGGCCAGGGGAGCGAACAGG